Molecule: ribosomal RNA, 588 nt
Filed under: uncultured bacterium
Lineage: Bacteria
Description: partial 16S ribosomal RNA
Rfam family: Bacterial small subunit ribosomal RNA
Source: RNAcentral
UGGGGAAUAUUGGACAAUGGGCGCAAGCCUGAUCCAGCAAUGCCGCGUGUGUGAAGAAGGCCUUCGGGUUGUAAAGCACUUUUAUCAGGAGCGAAACGCUGUCGGCUAAUACCCGGCGGAACUGACGGUACCUGAGGAAUAAGCACCGGCUAACUUCGUGCCAGCAGCCGCGGUAAUACGAAGGGUGCAAGCGUUAAUCGGAAUUACUGGGCGUAAAGCGUGCGUAGGCGGUUUCUUAAGUCUGCUGUGAGAUCCCCGGGCUCAACCUGGGAAUGGCAGUGGAUACUGGGAGGCUAGAGUGUGUCAGAGGGUGGUGGAAUUCCCGGUGUAGCGGUGAAAUGCGUAGAGAUCGGGAGGAACAUCAGUGGCGAAGGCGGCCACCUGGGACAACACUGACGCUGAGGCACGAAAGCGUGGGGAGCAAACAGGAUUAGAUACCCUGGUAGUCCACGCCCUAAACGAUGCGAACUGGAUGUUGGUCUCAACUCGGAGAUCAGUGUCGAAGCUAACGCGUUAAGUUCGCCGCCUGGGGAGUACGGUCGCAAGACUGAAACUUAAAUGAAUUGACGGGGUCAUAGCUGUUUCCUG